This 60-nucleotide transfer RNA is filed under the name Proasellus coiffaiti. Its description in RNAcentral is "transfert RNA-F(TTC)". Lineage: Eukaryota; Metazoa; Arthropoda; Malacostraca; Isopoda; Asellidae. The record is from RNAcentral.
ACUCAAAUAGUUUAAUAUAGAAUAUAACGUUGAAAGCGUUAAGGUGUUGAUCUUUGGGUG